AAUAGUACGUGAAACUGCUUAGAGGUUAAACCCGAUGAACCUGAAUAUCCAUGUUAAGAAUUCAUCAUUAAAAUAAUAAUUUUUAUUAUUAUUAUGGUGUGCAUUUUCUUAACAUAAAAUGGACAUUGUAAUCUAUUAAUAUUGAAUUAAUUUAUCAUAAGAUCAAUAGUAUAUGUUUAUUUUAAAUAAUUUACCAUAUGGUUUAUUAAUAUUAAAUAAUUUCUAUUGAUUUGAUAAAGUAUUAAUAGAUUUAAUCAUAUGUAUAAUGCAUAAAUAUCAUUUAUAUGAGAUUUUAUAAUAUAUAUUAUAUAUAUAUUAUUAGCAUUUAUACGAUUUACAAUGCGAAAGAUUCAGGAUACCUUCGGGACCCGUCUUGAAACACGGACCAAGGAGUCUAACAUAUGUGCAAGUUUUUGGGAUUUUUAAUUAAAACCCAAAAGCAUAAUUAACAUAACUAUAUUAUAAUGGGAUUAGUUUUUAAUUUAUAUAUUUAAAUUAUUAAUUCAAUCCCAGGGCGUUCUAUACAGUUAUGUAUAAUAAUAUUUAUAUUAUUUAUACCUCUAACUAGAGCGUACCUUGAGCAUAUAUGCUGUGACCCGAAAGAUGGUGAACUAUACUUGAUCAGGUUGAAGUCAGGGGAAACCCUGAUGGAAGACCGAAACAGUUCUGACGUGCAAAUCGAUUGUCAGAAUUGAGUAUAGGGGCGAAAGACCAAUCGAACCAUCUAGUA
Molecule: ribosomal RNA, 730 nt
Filed under: Phytomyza syngenesiae
Lineage: Eukaryota; Metazoa; Arthropoda; Insecta; Diptera; Agromyzidae
Description: partial 28S ribosomal RNA
Rfam family: Eukaryotic large subunit ribosomal RNA (bases 385-730)
Source: RNAcentral